Molecule: ribosomal RNA, 510 nt
Filed under: uncultured bacterium
Lineage: Bacteria
Description: partial 16S ribosomal RNA
Rfam family: Bacterial small subunit ribosomal RNA
Source: RNAcentral
GACGAACGCUGGCGGCGUGCUUAACACAUGCAAGUCGAACGAAGAGCGAUGGAAGCUUGCUUCUAUCAAUCUUAGUGGCGAACGGGUGAGUAACGCGUAAUCAACCUGCCCUUCAGAGGGGGACAACAGUUGGAAACGACUGCUAAUACCGCAUACGAUCUAAUCUCGGCAUCGAGGAUAGAUGAAAGGUGGCCUCUACAUGUAAGCUAUCACUGAAGGAGGGGAUUGCGUCUGAUUAGCUAGUUGGAGGGGUAACGGCCCACCAAGGCGAUGAUCAGUAGCCGGCCGGAGAGGAUGACCGGCAACAUGGGGAUGAAGACCGGCCCCAACCCCCUACGGGGGGCGGCGGUGGGGAAUCUUCCGAAAGGGCAGAAAGUCGGACGGGGAAACGCCGGGGGGGUGAUGAGGGCCUUCGGGUUGUAAAGCUUGGUUAAUCGGGACGAAAGGCCUUUUUGCAAAUAGGGAGAAGGAUUGAGGUUACCGAAAUAGAAGGCCACGGCUAGCUACGUG